AAUGGGCGCAAGCCUGAUCUAGCCAUGCCGCGUGAGUGAUGAAGGCCUUAGGGUUGUAAAGCUCUUUCGCCAGGGAUGAUAAUGACAGUACCUGGUAAAGAAACCCCGGCUAACUCCCUGCCAGCAGCCGCGGUAAUACGGAGGGGGUUAGCGUUGUUCGGAAUUACUGGGCGUAAAGCGCACGUAGGCGGACUAUUAAGUCGGGGGUGAAAUCCCGGGGCUCAACCCCGGAACUGCCUCCGAUAUUGGUAGUCUUGAGUUCGAGAGAGGUGAGUGGAAUUCCGAGUGUAGAGGUGAAAUUCGUAGAUAUUCGGAGGAACACCAGUGGCGAAGGCGGCUCACUGGCUCGAUACUGGCGCUGAGGUGCGAAAGUGUGGGGAGCAACCAGGAUU
RNAcentral lists this ribosomal RNA (392 nucleotides) under uncultured Gammaproteobacteria bacterium. RNAcentral's name for it is "bacterial SSU rRNA". It matches the Rfam family "Bacterial small subunit ribosomal RNA", at positions 370 to 779 of the family's 1533-position model. The record is from RNAcentral. Lineage: Bacteria; Pseudomonadati; Pseudomonadota; Gammaproteobacteria.